AGGAGGGUGACAAUCCCGUUCUUGCCCCGGCCCCGCCGCGCGCACGGCCCGUUUUCUAAGAGUCGAGUUGCUUGGGAUUGCAGCUCAAAGCGGGUGGUAAAUUCCAUCUAAAGCUAAACACGGGGGGGAGACCGAUAGCGAACAAGUACCGUGAGGGAAAGAUGCAAAGAACUUUGAAAAGAGAGUUAAAGAGUGCCUGAAAUUGCUGAAAGGGAAGCGAAGGAAAGCAGUGUCUGGCGGAUCCGCCUCUCCGGGGUACCUUCGGGUCCCCGGCUUGCGCUUCCGCCGUGGCCAGCGCCGGGUCGGGUCGCGGGACGCUUCGUCUCGGGAGGUAGCGCCUCACCUCGGUGAGCGUGAAUACCG
RNAcentral lists this ribosomal RNA (363 nucleotides) under Herpodiscus durvilleae. Its description in RNAcentral is "LSU rRNA". It matches the Rfam family "Eukaryotic large subunit ribosomal RNA", at positions 206 to 567 of the family's 3401-position model. Lineage: Eukaryota; Phaeophyceae; Sphacelariales. The record is from RNAcentral.